RNAcentral lists this ribosomal RNA (301 nucleotides) under uncultured bacterium. Its description in RNAcentral is "partial 16S ribosomal RNA". It matches the Rfam family "Bacterial small subunit ribosomal RNA", at positions 509 to 809 of the family's 1533-position model. The record is from RNAcentral.
CAGUCGCCGCGGUAAAACAUAGGUGGCAAGCGUUGUCCGGAAUUAUUGGGCGUAAAGCGCGCGCAGGCGGAUAGGUCAGUCUGUCUUAAAAGUUCGGGGCUUAACCCCGUGAUGGGAUGGAAACUGCCAAUCUAGAGUAUCGGAGAGGAAAGUGGAAUUCCUAGUGUAGCGGUGAAAUGCGUAGAUAUUAGGAAGAACACCAGUGGCGAAGGCGACUUUCUGGACGAAAACUGACGCUGAGGCGCGAAAGCCAGGGGAGCGAACGGGAUUAGAUACCCGGGUAGUCCCUGUCUCUUAUACA